AAGCAAAUAGAGAGGUUGCUGGAGUGUCGGAGCCGACCUCGCGAAGUGGAGCUGGUGUGUAAUGCCAACACCUUGUCGGGAGCCAGCGUUCCCACUGCUAACUUCGGUCGAGGAGAAUCCUGUCACUUCUAAACAAGAUGCUGCCUAACCUGCUGCGGUCCUCCAGCUUUUUGUGUGUGUUGGCUUUGGAUUUCCAGCAUUUGCAAACUUUCUCGUGUUUGUAACGUACUGACCCGUACGUCUAUGGGAUGUGGGAGGAAACCAGAGACCCAUGUGGUGACGGGGAGAAUGUACCAACUCUUUACAGUCAGAGCGGGAACUGAAUCCGGGCGCUGGAGCUUUAAUCUGUGUACGCUACGGUGCUGCCCUCUACAUUAAAGUAGAUUCCGUCAGUUAUCUUUGGAUCUCUGGUGAUAGAAGUGAACUUGGACACAACUUCCUUAGAGGAAGCAGAGGCACUCAAUGUCAGUAAGACAAAAGAGGUGAUUGUUGGCUUCGGGGUGGUGGUGGGGGGUUUAAGACAAAGGAACACAUACCAAUCCUCAUAGAGGGAUCGGAAAUGGAGAGAGCGGUUUCAGGUUCCUGGGUGUCAACAUCUCAUUUGGUCUAACUUGGUCCCAACGCAUCGAUGCAGUUUUAAAGAAGGCGAGACAGUGGCUAUACUUCACUAGGAGUUUGAGGAGAUUUGGUAUGCCAACAAAUACACUCAAAAACUUCUGUAGAUGUACUGUGGAGAGCAUUCUGACAGGCUGCAUCACUAUCUGGGGGGGUGGGGGGGACUGCUGCACAGGACUGAAAGAAGCUGCAGAGGUUUGUAAAUCUAGUCAGCUCCAUCUUGGGUACUAGUCUACAAAGUACCCAGGACAUCUUUAGGGAGCAGUGUCUCAGAAAGGGAGCGUCCAUUAUUAGGACCUCCAGCACCCAGGACAUGCCCUUUUCUCACUGUUACCAUCAGGUAGGAGGUACAGAAGCCUGAAGACACACACUCAGUGAUUCAAGAACAGCUUCUUCCCCUCUGCCAUCCGAUUCCUAAAUGGACAUAGUGUCCAAGGGUUCAAACUCACUUUUUUAGUAUAUAUUAUUUCUGUUUUUACACAAUUUUAAUCUAUUCAAUAUACAUAUACUGUAAUUGAUUUACUUAUUAUUUUUUCUAUAUUAUCAUGUAUUGCAUUGAACUGCUGCUGCUAAGUUAACAAAUUUCAUGACACAUGCCGGUGAUAAUAAACCUGAUUAUUACCAGGGUCCUGGAGGAACAUUGUUUCCUUUUUACUAUGUACUGUACCAGCAGUUAUGGUUGAAAUGAUAAUAAAUGUGACUUGACUUGA
This is a long non-coding RNA of Hypanus sabinus (Atlantic stingray), 1325 nucleotides long. RefSeq lists it as uncharacterized. The transcript has 2 exons. Lineage: Eukaryota; Metazoa; Chordata; Chondrichthyes; Myliobatiformes; Dasyatidae. The record is from RefSeq and is a predicted model, not a curated record.